Molecule: ribosomal RNA, 450 nt
Filed under: uncultured bacterium
Lineage: Bacteria
Description: partial 16S ribosomal RNA
Rfam family: Bacterial small subunit ribosomal RNA
Source: RNAcentral
CCUACGGGUGGCUGCAGUGAGGAAUAUUGGUCAAUGGGCGCGAGCCUGAACCAGCCAAGUCGCGUGAAGGAUGACGGUCCUAUGGAUUGUAAACUUCUUUUGUGCAGGAAUAAAGUGAGGAACGUGUUCCUUUUUGUAUGUACUGUACGAGUAAGCAUCGGCUAACUCCGUGCCAGCAGCCGCGGUAAUACGGAGGAUGCGAGCGUUAUCCGGAUUUAUGGGGUUGUAGGGGUGCGUAGGAGUCCUUGGAGAAAGUUUGCAGCUUAACUGUAAAAUUGCCAGUGAAACUGUUAGUCUUGAGUGCAAAUGAGGUAGGCGGAAUGUGUUGUGUAGCGGUGAAAUGCUUAGAUAUAACACAGAACUCCGAUUGCGAAGGCAGCUUACUGGGAUGCAACUGACGCUGAUGCACGAAAGCGUGGGUAGCAAACAGGAUUAGAUACCCGAGUAGUC